This is a long non-coding RNA of Notothenia coriiceps (black rockcod), 265 nucleotides long. RefSeq lists it as uncharacterized. NCBI's taxonomy places the organism in Eukaryota, Metazoa, Chordata, Actinopteri, Perciformes, Nototheniidae. The record is from RefSeq and is a predicted model, not a curated record. The transcript has 3 exons.
GAGAAAUUCUUUAAUAUCUGUUACAUAUAAAGACGGAGAAAAGAUCUGACUACCAUCAAUGGAUCUCGGUACUUCACAAACUACCUCGAGAUCAUCUUCGAUCUGUACGUCCUCGUCACCACGGCCAACAGCCCCGACAUCAUAAUGCCGGCAUACAACGCCAGCUAUUACUUCGCCAUCUUCUUCAUCCUGUACAUCCUCAUCAACAACUACAUCUUCAUGUCCGUGUUCUUGGCCGUCGUCUACAACAACUACAAAUACCACC